CCCCCGGGGCCCCUGCCAUCCCCGUGUGACAGACAACGACACCAACGCUCUGGGACGGGACAUCCGCACCGCUCAUUGUCCUGAGCCAGCGCCGGCUGCCGCUGCCAUCACACAGGAUAUGGUUCCCAGGCAGCACACCGACUGCCUUCCAGGAGGCUCUCCCCUUCACGGUGUGCCAGGCGCUCUUGGGGCUCCACUGGCCCCUGCAAGCUUUAGAGGGCUUGCCCAGAGCCCUCCACCCUUCAGAAACCCCUCCUGAUCCUAAGGACUCCAGAGACCACCCAGCCACCUCCUGCAGAGCCAGAAACCCUGGGGAUCUAUGUCCCUGCUGGGGAUACGGGCUCUGGACGGCAGAAGCUGUCCCCAGCGCACACCUGGAGCUGGAUCUGCGGUGGAUGACAGAUUCCAGAGAGCGGGGGCAAAGGGAGAAAGAAGACACCCUUACCCUUCUUCUCAGCACCUUGGAAAGGCACCGCCAUGGGCACCGCCAUGAGCACCGUGGGAAUGGGCAGAAGCUACUUUAACCCGCCAGGGUUUAGGAGUGGAUGCUGGGUUUUUUUGGUUGUUGUUUAUUUCUUUGUUUUUCCCGAGACAGAGUCUCGCUCUGUCACCCAGGCUGGAGUGCAGUGGUGCAAUCUCGGCUCACCGCAACCUCUGCCUCUUGGGUUCAAGUGAUUCUCCUGCCUCAGCCUCCCGAGUAGCUGGGACUACAGGCGUGCACCACCAUGCCUGGCUAAUUAUUUGUAAUUUUAGUAGAGACGGGGGCUUCAUCAUGUUGGCCAGGUUGGUCUCGAACUCCUGACCUCAAGUGAUCUGCCCACCUUGGCUUUCCAAAGUGCUGUGAUUACAGGUGUGAGCCACUACACCUGGCCAAGAUUAGAUACUGGAGGUUUGCUUUGUGGUGACCCGGCUGGACCCAGUGCUCCUGAGCUCCCCUCAGAGCAAAGACCAGGGGCAGAUUCCCUGCACCCUCAGUAGGCCUGGACGUGCAGGAGGCUUCAGACAGAAAAGCAGGGCUUUGCGAGGGCGGGCAGGGUCUUGGAUCAUGUCUGCAGGGGCAUUGGCCCUGAACAGACCACCACUGUCAAGGAUGUGGAAUCUCUGCAGCAGGGGGGCAGGGCCUGUAGACCUGCAGGCUGGAUCUGGGACACCUAACUGCCUGUUGUCAUUGACAGGCCGGCCCCUUUGUGGCAGCCCUACCCUCGGAUGGCAGUGCAGCUGUAUCCCUGCCCUGUCCCGGUGAGGCCAGCUACGAGGGGAAGAUGUGUUUCUCCCCAAAAGCGUCCUGUGGGUUACGUACUGAAUUGGUCCUCCCAGAAAGAGAUGCUGAAGCUCUAAUUCCCAGUGUCUAUGGCUGUGAUCUUCUUUGGAAAUAGGGUCUUUGUAGGUGUGACUAAGAUGUGGGGCUGGGCGCAGUGGCUCACUCCUCUAAUCCCAGCACUUUAGGAGGCUGAGGUGAGAGGAUCACCUGAGGUCAGGAGAGUGAGACCAGCCUGGCCAACAUGAUGAAACCCCAUCUCUACUAAAAAUACAAAAAAAUUAGCCGGGCACGGUGGCGCAUGCCUGUAAUCCCAGCUACUUGGGAGGCUGAGGCAGGAGAAUCCCUUGAACCCAGGAGGUGGAGGUUGCAGUGAACUAAGAUCAUGUCACUGCACUCCAGCCUGGGCAACAAGAGCGAAACUCCAUCUCAAAAAAAAAAAAAAAAAAAAA
Macaca fascicularis (crab-eating macaque) is the source of this 1710-nucleotide long non-coding RNA. The record is from Ensembl. NCBI's taxonomy places the organism in Eukaryota, Metazoa, Chordata, Mammalia, Primates, Cercopithecidae.